GACGAACGCUGGCGGCGUGCCUAAUACAUGCAAGUCGAACGAGAGCGACCGGUGCUUGCACUGGUCAAUCUAGUGGCGCACGGGUGAGUAACACGUGGGUAACCUGCUCAUCAGAGGGGGAUAACAUCCGGAAACGGAUGCUAAAACCGCAUAGGUCUUCGAGCCGCAUGGCUUGAAGAGGAAAAGAGGCGCAAGCUUCUGCUGAUGGAUGGACCCGCGGUGCAUUAGCUAGUUGGUGAGGUAACGGCUCACCAAGGCCGUGAUGCAUAGCCGACCUGAGAGGGGGAUCGGCCACAUUGGGACUGAGACACGGCCCAAACUCCUACGGGAGGCAGCAGUAGGGAAUCUUCCGCAAUGGACGCAAGUCUGACGGAGCAACGCCGCGUGAGUGAAGAAGGUGUUCGGAUCGUAAAGCUCUGUUGUUAGAGAAGAACAAGUGCUAGAGUAACUGUUAGCGCCUUGACGGUAUCUAACCAGAAAGCCACGGCUAACUACGUG
RNAcentral lists this ribosomal RNA (498 nucleotides) under uncultured bacterium. RNAcentral describes it as "partial 16S ribosomal RNA". It matches the Rfam family "Bacterial small subunit ribosomal RNA", at positions 28 to 507 of the family's 1533-position model. The record is from RNAcentral.